Molecule: long non-coding RNA, 867 nt
Organism: Juglans microcarpa x Juglans regia
Lineage: Eukaryota; Viridiplantae; Streptophyta; Magnoliopsida; Fagales; Juglandaceae
Exons: 2
Source: RefSeq, a predicted model, not a curated record
GUCGCACACCACACUCUUGAUGUGGUAAACCCGAUUCUUCACCUACGUCACGGUUCAGUUGCCCACUUCUCUCAGACUUCUCUCACUUGCCUCCCUACUUCUCCCUUUUCUCAUAACCAAGACAAUGAGCAGACUGCCUCUUCUCCCAAAUCUCCAGCACGCAGAUGCCCACCCCAGCCAGCAUCCCAGCAACAAAUAACUCCCCCUCAACCCAGCCCCCUUCAUGUCUCUCACCUAUGAAACCCUAGAAGAUUUCUUCCUCACCUCUCACCCUAGCCCCUUCUUCACUUCUCUCACACUUGAAACCCUUGAUCCUGCUCUAAAACUCCAUAUGGUGUGUUGAGCUUCUAUUACAAACUCCAUACGUCGAACACCAACGCUCAAUCCAUACAGAUCUGCCUUCUCACAUCACCGAUGCCAUGGAUUCUCUGAUGAGGGGAAGGACUGUUCUUGUCAUAGCACACAAGUGUUCAACAGUCAAAAGUGCACACUGUGUUGCUGUUAUAUCAGAUGGUCAGAUAGCUGAAAGUGACACCCACAAGAAGCUACUCAGCCAGGAUGGAAUAUACACUGCAUUAGUAAGGAGACAAUUACAAGCCUCAAUUACUGCAUUGCAGUUUAAAAUUGUAGAUAAAACUACAGGAAGUAGGAAUGAAUCAAAAUAAUAGGUGAGGUCAAAUUGUUUGAAAUUCCAAUGUUGGCUUCUCCUGCAUGCUUGUUGUGUAGAUCGCAUAGAUGAAGUUCUUGGUCUUAAAUUAUUAUCAAGUCCUCUUCCCACCUAUCGUGCUAGUUUGAAAUGUAAAGAGAUUGUACGGAUCAUAACAUGUAUGCUAUAUGCUGUAUGCAAAGAAUUAUGGCAACUUAUUA